UACGGGGGGUGCGAGCGUUGUCCGGAAUCACUGGGCGUAAAGGGCGCGUAGGUGGCCUGAUAGGGGUGUGGUGAAAGUCCGGGGCUCAACCCCGGAUCUGCCGUGCCGACUGUCAGGCUAGAGUACUGUAGGGGCAGGCGGAAUUCCCAGUGUAGAGGUGAAAUUCGUAGAUAUUGGGAAGAACACCGGUGGCGAAGGCGGCUCACUGGCCCGAAACUGACGCUCAGGCACGACAGCGUGGGGAGCAAACAGG
This 253-nucleotide ribosomal RNA is filed under the name uncultured bacterium. RNAcentral describes it as "partial 16S ribosomal RNA". It matches the Rfam family "Bacterial small subunit ribosomal RNA", at positions 524 to 776 of the family's 1533-position model. The record is from RNAcentral.